AUGGACGGCAACAAGACUGCCGCCCGGCCGGCCAGCCUACGGGCGUUCUACAUCGCCCGCGCCACCGUCGUCGUCUUCGCCUUGGCCACAGCGGCCGACUACGUACUCGACCGCUACCACCUCUGCAGCAGCCAGAGCCAGGCUUCCUUCCUCCUGCCGUGCGUCAGGGCGACGGCGGCGGCCGCCGCGGAGUGGAGGGCCCUCUGGCUCGGCAUGCUCUUCUGCGCAGUGCUCGAGGCGGCCGUCGCGGCGCUGGCGCUGCGGCUCCCAUGCCGCCACCGCGCCCUCGCCUACCUCCACCGCGCGCUGACCAUCGUCCGCCACUACAUGUACGUCCGCGCCGCCCGCAUCUUCCUCGCCGCCGACCCAGGAGUCUACCUCACCGGGAUCUGCAUCGGGAGCGCCUGCAACUUCAUAACGGACGACGUCUUCAGCUUCAUGGGGCUUUUCCCUCCGUCCGCCAUGGACGCCAAGAGGACUGCCGUCGGGCGCGCCAGCGUAACGGCGCUCGUCACCGCCUGCGUCACCGUCGUCGCCUACGCCUUGGCCACAGCGGCCGAGUACGCACUCGACCGCUACCACCUCUGCAGCCAGGCUUCCUUCCUCCUGCGCUGCGUCAGUGUGACGGCCGCCGAGUGGAGGGCCCUCUGGCUCGCCAUGCUCUGCUGCACGGUGCUCGAGGCGGCCGUGGCGGCGCUGGCGCUGCGGCUCCCAUGCCGCCGCCGCGCCCUCGCCUGCCUCCAGCUCGAGGUCACCAUGGUCCGCCACUGCAUGUGCGCCCGCGCCUUCCUCCUCCCCCUCGCCGCCGACCCGGAAUAUCUAGUCGGCACGAUCUGCAUCGGGUUCACCUUCUGCUUCGCAGCGAACGACGUCGCCAACUUCGUGCACUUUCUCCGUGGAGGUGACAACUGA
This 912-nucleotide ribosomal RNA is filed under the name Triticum aestivum (bread wheat). RNAcentral's name for it is "partial small subunit ribosomal RNA". Lineage: Eukaryota; Viridiplantae; Streptophyta; Magnoliopsida; Poales; Poaceae. The record is from RNAcentral.